UGUUCUAUAGGAACUCAAUCAAAGAAUCUGAUGUGUGAGGUAAAAUCUUAUUGCUUAUUUUGAUGUGUGAUGUGAAAUCUUAAUGUUCAGUUGAUCAAACUGAGCCUAUACUUCAUAGGUGAGUAUUCAAACCAUAGGAACUCAUUCAAAGAAUCUGAUACGUGCACUAUAGGAAACUGAGCCUAUGGCUGACAUGUGUUCUUCAAUCAGGGGCCACAAUAUGUGUGCACUACUUUCUGGACCUUUGUUUACACCAACUGUAGUGGAGUGCAGAAUUCUCACCGGAUGGACGAUUCAUUAUUAGUGCUGAUCGGGAUUUUAAAAUUCGUGUUACCCUGUUUCCAAAGAAGACUUUAGAUGGAGCUCAUGAGAUACAGAGCUUUUGCCUUGGUCAUUCUAAGUGAGUGAGUUUUUUAUCUUCGAAUAUGUUGCAGAGCAGAUGUGAUUUCCAUGAAUAGUUUU
Molecule: non-coding RNA, 462 nt
Organism: Camellia sinensis
Lineage: Eukaryota; Viridiplantae; Streptophyta; Magnoliopsida; Ericales; Theaceae
Source: RefSeq, a predicted model, not a curated record